Molecule: long non-coding RNA, 518 nt
Organism: Tupaia belangeri chinensis (Chinese tree shrew)
Lineage: Eukaryota; Metazoa; Chordata; Mammalia; Scandentia; Tupaiidae
Exons: 3
Source: RefSeq, a predicted model, not a curated record
AGCUACCUCAACAUAAUGUCCCAGCCCUCUGUGACCGCACUCCCCUGCUUAGCCCACUGUGACACACAGAGACUGAGGCUCAGAGACAUCAGUGACUUGCUCAUGGCCACACUGACACCAAGGAGAACAUCCCAUCCUCCUGCAGUGAGUGCACGCGCCCUAUAGCAAAAAACCUCUCCAAAAAAAAAGAACAUUCUACCCACUGGGCAGCAGGGAAACUCAGGCCCCUCCUCACCUAGACGACAAGGACCCCGUGCACGUGCACACACACACAACUUGGGAACCUCAUGAGAGUGAUUCCUGGAUCAAGGAGCUGGCUUCACCCUCCACACUGAUGCAAGUCAGCAGACAGACCUGACACGAAUCAGCCUGCUUCUCCGUCCAUUUCCACUCGGCUAACGUCCGUCAUUUUAAACUGUGUCCAUUCAGUAGUAGUUCACUGCAGAAACAAAUGACCUUCAGUUCCCAGGGUGCCAUCGUCCUAGACCCCAGCGAUGAACCUGGUUUGUAUCAAAGAC